This 490-nucleotide ribosomal RNA is filed under the name uncultured bacterium. RNAcentral describes it as "partial 16S ribosomal RNA". It matches the Rfam family "Bacterial small subunit ribosomal RNA", at positions 30 to 507 of the family's 1533-position model. The record is from RNAcentral.
AUUGAACGCUGGCGGCAUGCCUUACACAUGCAAGUCGAACGGCAGCAUGAUCUAGCUUGCUAGAUUGAUGGCGAGUGGCGAACGGGUGAGUAAUACAUCGGAACGUGCCCUGUAGUGGGGGAUAACUAGUCGAAAGAUUAGCUAAUACCGCAUACGACCUGAGGGUGAAAGUGGGGGACCGCAAGGCCUCAUGCUAUAGGAGCGGCCGAUGUCUGAUUAGCUAGUUGGUGAGGUAAAGGCUCACCAAGGCGACGAUCAGUAGCUGGUCUGAGAGGACGAUCAGCCACACUGGGACUGAGACACGGCCCAGACUCCUAUGGGAGGCAGCAGUGGGGAAUUUUGGACAAUGGGCGAAAGCCUGAUCCAGCAAUGCCGCGUGUGUGAAGAAGGCCUUCGGGUUGUAAAGCACUUUUGUCCGGAAAGAAAUGGCUCUGGUUAAUACCUGGGGUCGAUGACGGUACCGGAAGAAUAAGGACCGGCUAACUACGUG